GGGUCAGUAGGUUGGUCGUGCCACCGGUACGUACUGGUCUCACUGAUUCCUCCUUCCUGAAGAACCGUAAUGCCAUUAAUUUGGUGUUGCGGGGAAACAGGACUGUUACUUUGGAAAAAUUAGAGUGUUUAAAGCAAGCUGACGCUUGAAUACAUUAGCAUGGAAUAAUGAAAUAGGACGAUCGAUCCUAUUUUGUUGGUUUCUAGGAUUGACGUA
This 216-nucleotide ribosomal RNA is filed under the name Glomeromycotina sp. Its description in RNAcentral is "partial small subunit ribosomal RNA". The stretch from base 40 to 216 matches the Rfam family "Eukaryotic small subunit ribosomal RNA", at positions 686 to 864 of the family's 1831-position model. The record is from RNAcentral. Lineage: Eukaryota; Fungi; Glomeromycota.